CCUACGGGAUGCAGCAGUGAGGAAUAUUGGUCAAUGGACGAGAGUCUGAACCAGCCAAGUAGCGUGAAGGAUGAAUGCCCUAUGGGUUGUAAACUUCUUUUAUAUGGGAAUAAAAUGUUCCACGUGUGGGAUUUUGUAUGUACCAUAUGAAUAAGGAUCGGCUAACUCCGUGCCAGCAGCCGCGGUAAUACGGAGGAUUCGAGCGUUAUCAGGAUGUAUUGGGUUUAAAGGGAGCGUAGGUGGGUUGUUAAGUCAGUUGUGAUAGUUUGUGGCUCAACCGUAAAAUUGCAGUUGAUACUGGCAGUCUUGAGUACAGUAGAGGUGGGCGGAAUUCGUGGUGUAGCGGUGAAAUGCUUAGAUAUCACGAAGAACUCCGAUUGCGAAGGCAGCUCACUGGACUACAACUGACACUGAGGCUCGAAAGUGUGGGUAUCAAACAGGAUUAGAUACCCGUGUAGUC
Molecule: ribosomal RNA, 460 nt
Filed under: uncultured bacterium
Lineage: Bacteria
Description: partial 16S ribosomal RNA
Rfam family: Bacterial small subunit ribosomal RNA
Source: RNAcentral